RNAcentral lists this long non-coding RNA (3534 nucleotides) under Sus scrofa (pig). Its description in RNAcentral is "lncRNA (ENSSSCG00015019305.1)". The record is from RNAcentral. Lineage: Eukaryota; Metazoa; Chordata; Mammalia; Artiodactyla; Suidae.
AGAUCCGUUUAAUAGUUUUUGAAGACUUUUCCUGUAAAAUGGCUUGUAUUUCCACAGAUACAAUAGUGAAGAAAUAAACUUUUCAAUUUGACAUGAAAUAUAAAAGAACAAUUUUACAAAUAUAGCCAUAAAAUUUAACUGCUCAUAACACUAUACAUGGUAAAUAUGACUACUCUCUUAGCUUCUAGACUAUUUAAUACAGAGAAACAAAUCUGUCAUCUCAGCUAAAAAGAAACAACUUCCCUUUCAUUGAGUUUACUUUUGUUUAGAAAUAAGUAGAACUGGAAAAAUAUUUACUUUUCCCCAUUUUCCUCCAGGGGUUCUUCGUGAGGGUGAAAACUUGAGAAGAUACAAGUUUUACUAAAAAGAAAUACUGAACCUUCUUUUGUUUUACUGCUUCAGUAAUGUUUACGUUCUUUUAAAUAGAUCCUGGAGUUGUCUCAUUGGCCUUUGACUGGGUCAUAAAGAAAUGACAACAGAGCUGUGUAGCACUACAGGAGGAACUUCAUACCCUCUGCCUAUGAAGGCCAAACUGUGGCGAUGUAAGAGCUACAGCCAAGGGACCAGAGCUGGAUCUGGCUUAAAAUCAAAGUUCUGUGGUUUAUCUAUCAGAAAUUCCAUUGUUACAAGGCAGGAUUGCAUGGAUAGCCAGCAUUAACAAUGUUGUGAUCAUAUACUUCAUGCAAAUCCAAAGAACAGAAUGGCUUUAAACAGAAAAGUUGAUCAAAAUCAUAGAACUGCUGGUAAUAAUUCUGUAAUCUAUGUUAAAUUAAGGAGAAAACAUUCUCCUUUUUAAAUUCUCAAAAAGUGCCUAAAUAACAAUACUGAGCUCCCCAAAUGACAGGGGUUUCAAUUUUUUUUUUUUUUAAUGUACGCAAAAAUAAAGCAUUGAAGCUUCAUGAAGAGUUCUCCUCAACUCUGCUGAUAAAGUAGAUGUAAUAACUUAAAAAAAUUUCCCUAUUGAUACUGGAAGUAAAUUCUACUACAAUCAUGUGUAUGCAUGCCAGUUGCUGGCAUAUUUCUGCAUCCAGAUUCAUUAGUCUCCUUAAUGGAGCCCAUCAUUUUUCCAAUGGCUUUCUCCUUUCUUUAAACCCUAACCCUGAAAUUCUAUAACCAGUUAUAUCACGUGGCUUCCCUGAGGCACAAAGGUACCAAACUCUAUAAUUAACUAUCAAGGAAUGAUAAAUAUGCUAUUUAUAUUAAAAGAUUUUAAUUCUUUUAGGCUACAGUUGGGGAAAAAAAAAAAACCCAGAAAGCUUAAUACUUACUCUGCAGUGUGAACUGUAGCCCUUUUUGCAAAAAGUGAAACGAAAUAAGGGAACUGUUGAGUUGCAGCAUGCAUGACCUGGCAGCACCGAUUAGUAAUAAUAAAAAAAUUCCAGACUAGAAAAAUAUUCAGAGUUCUAUCCCAUCACUCUGAAUUUUUUUUUUUUUUGUAGUAAACUAGCAUAAACAUCUGGAAAAAAAAAAAAACCAAACCUAUGGGAAUAUAUCACUGGGGCUUUUCUGGAAACCUAGUCACAAAAGGCAUUUUGGUCAGGCUGAGAUCAGGAUAACUGGUCUGCAAUUUCCUAUGUAUACACCUGGGGAGUGGGAUUUGCCCUUGAACAUCAGUAAGACAUAAAAACAGACAUGACCUCUGAGAAGUUACCUUUUCUGAGCUGUAUUACUCUACUCUGAGCUAGAGUUCUUCUCAUAAAUGAAAUUGCUCUCAACUCGGGGGAAAAAUUCAUUAGCCAAAGUUAUAAGAAGAUCUUAUUAGAAGUGGCCAAGAGGAGCCUGGUUUUCUUCUGCAGACUUGCCAGCUUGCUAUGGUUCCCUAGGCAGGGUGGGAGGAGACCUCACUGGGAAGUCAAAGAAAAAGGUAUGGCACUAACAGGAGGUGGGUCACUGUUACCCCUUCCAAGAGCUUGGAAUAGAUUACACAAGUUUACUAAAACUGAAAGUCAGGAAUUUUUCAGGUUGGAAGUUAACUUUAUUUUGGGGCACAUGUUGCAUGUAGAACUACUAGACCCUGACAUUCUGUAGUCCUUGAAAUAGAAAAGUAUACCGAUUGUAACUUUCUUAGAAAAAUUUUUGAUAGGUAAAAUCCAGCCUUUCUAGAUGCAAGACCAUUUAUUUACAAGAUACUUUUAGGGUAUUAAGAUUUCUCAACCCACCUUCAAGCCACAGAGCAAGAAAAGGGACCCUGUGCUUCCUUUAUCAUUUUUAUGGAACCUAAAGCAGCACAAAUUGAAAAGCCACGCUAUUGGUGAAAGCUAAUCAUGGGAACCUUUAACUACAUCAAAAGGCAUUUGAUACAUGCUAGGACCAACUUCGUUUUUUUUCUUUCCUUUUCUGUCUGCAGGUUGAGCAAACUAUACAGAAUAGAGUAAGCUAUUAAUAAGAGCACUGUUAUUGGAUUUUCACGUCACUUCAAACUGCCAAAACACCUCAUCAUAAACAAUAAUCUCCACUGAAAAGUAAAGCUAUUAAAAACAGAGGCUGAACUUUUUAGACAUGAAGUCAACUUAAACACAGCAGUCACGACUGAUCGAUCUUAUCACGUUAAGGAAAAGGAUUUUCAAAAUGGGUUAGAACGAUUUGAAAAUAGGCAAAAUAUUUGCUAGUAGGCAAACCAUGGAAAAAACCAAUUCAAAUAGGAAUACAGUAUAUUAGGGUCAUAUAAAUUAUAUAUCAUUACAAAGGUUAAAAAAAUGCAGCACAAAUCUGCCACGGUCAAUUUAAGAGGAUGUUAAUUUAAAUAAAUACUUGCUCCAUGUGGCAGGAACCGAUUUCAUCCUAGCCAGCUCUGGCAGUUGCAUGUCCUAAAGGAUCAUUAUAUUCUGGGAACAGGCAUACACUGGUACUAAGCACAGAGAACGAAUAUCCAAGAAUUACUAUUCACAAUGAAAUGAAACUAACAGAGAGGGAUGGUGGCGCUCAUAUGAAAUUCUGAUUUAAUUAUUUCUCAGUAAACACUCAUUUGCUCUCUUGAAAUCAGGAAUUUCAAAUGAUCUCUGCAGCUGUACCACUUGGUGUUGUAUAUACCUAAUGAUCACAUUUAAAUUUAGUUUUAUUUGCAAACAUUUUCAAAACUUAACAGGGCUCCGUAAGCUGCAAAGGAAGGUGACAGACGGCAGAAAGGGAGGGAACAAAAAUGACUAUCAUUGGGAUAUGCUGCUUUUGGGCUCCCAGAAUUUUGGCUUUCUUGAGGGGAAAACAAAACAAAAAACAACUUAGAAAACCCCAACAAGUGGUUUUAAAAUGUAAUAUCUUAUUUUUAAUCAUCUUAAAUAAUCCAGUAAGCAAAUAAAACUUGAUGUUAUUAAUAUCAGGGCCGUGUGGACCCUCAGUUAAUGGAUUUUUAGGACUUGUGGCAUUUUAAUCAACCAAACAAUUCUGGCCAUGCAUGAUGAGUAUCAGAGACCAAAAUAACAAAAGGCAGGCUAAAAAGGUAUGGAAAAUUCUUUGUUUGAAAUGCCAAGGUAUUUGAUGAACAUGUGUAUAAAGUAAUUAAAUUCUACCAAAGUUACCAAAAAAAAAAAAAAAAAA